UACACUCCUGCGGGAGGCAGCAGUGGGGAAUAUUGGACAAUGGGCGCAAGCCUGAUCCAGCCAUGCCGCGUGAGUGAUGAAGGCCCUAGGGUUGUAAAGCUCUUCCACCGGUGAAGAUAAUGACGGUAACCGGAGAAGAAGCCCCGGCUAACUUCGUGCCAGCAGCCGCGGUAAUACGAAGGGGGCUAGCGUUGUUCGGAUUUACUGGGCGUAAAGCGCACGUAGGCGGACUAUUAAGUCAGGGGUGAAAUCCCGGGGCUCAACCCCGGAACUGCCUUUGAUACUGGUAGUCUUGAGUUCGAGAGAGGUGAGUGGAAUUCCGAGUGUAGAGGUGAAAUUCGUAGAUAUUCGGAGGAACACCAGUGGCGAAGGCGGCUCACUGGCUCGAUACUGACGCUGAGGUGCGAAAGCGUGGGGAGCAAACAGGAUUAGAUACCCCUGUAGUCCCAUGA
Molecule: ribosomal RNA, 452 nt
Filed under: uncultured organism
Description: partial 16S ribosomal RNA
Rfam family: Bacterial small subunit ribosomal RNA
Source: RNAcentral